UACGUAGGGUGCGAGCGUUAAUCGGAAUUACUGGGCGUAAAGCGUGCGCAGGCGGUUUUGUAAGCCAGAUGUGAAAGCCCCGGGCUUAACCUGGGAAUGGCAUUUGGGACUGCAAGGCUUGAGUGCGGCAGAGGAGACUGGAAUUCCCGGUGUAGCAGUGAAAUGCGUAGAUAUCGGGAGGAAUACCGAUGGCGAAGGCAGGUCUCUGGGCUGACGCUGACGCUCAUGCACGAAAGCGUGGGGAGCAAACAGG
Molecule: ribosomal RNA, 253 nt
Filed under: uncultured bacterium
Lineage: Bacteria
Description: partial 16S ribosomal RNA
Rfam family: Bacterial small subunit ribosomal RNA
Source: RNAcentral